RNAcentral lists this ribosomal RNA (498 nucleotides) under uncultured bacterium. RNAcentral's name for it is "partial 16S ribosomal RNA". It matches the Rfam family "Bacterial small subunit ribosomal RNA", at positions 30 to 523 of the family's 1533-position model. The record is from RNAcentral.
UUUGAACGCUGGCGGCAUGCCUCACACAUGCAAGUCGAACGGUAACAGGUCUUCGGAUGCUGACGAGUGGCGAACGGGUGAGUAAUACAUCGGAACGUGCCUAGUAGUGGGGGAUAACUACUCGAAAGAGUGGCUAAUACCGCAUGAGAUCUACGGAUGAAAGCAGGGGAUCGCAAGACCUUGUGCUACUAGAGCGGCCGAUGGCAGAUUAGGUAGUUGGUGGGAUAAAAGCUUACCAAGCCGACGAUCUGUAGCUGGUCUGAGAGGACGAUCAGCCACACUGGGACUGAGACACGGCCCAGACUCCUACGGGAGGCAGCAGUGGGGAAUUUUGGACAAUGGGCGAAAGCCUGAUCCAGCAAUGCCGCGUGCAGGAUGAAGGCCUUCGGGUUGUAAACUGCUUUUGUACGGAACGAAAAGCCCUGGGUUAAUACCCUGGGGUCAUGACGGUACCGUAAGAAUAAGCACCGGCUAACUACGUGCCAGCAGCCGCCGUAA